This 501-nucleotide ribosomal RNA is filed under the name uncultured bacterium. RNAcentral's name for it is "partial 16S ribosomal RNA". It matches the Rfam family "Bacterial small subunit ribosomal RNA", at positions 29 to 523 of the family's 1533-position model. The record is from RNAcentral.
AUUGAACGCUGGCGGCAUGCCUUACACAUGCAAGUCGAACGGCAGCACGGGUGCUUGCACCUGGUGGCGAGUGGCGAACGGGUGAGUAAUACAUCGGAACGUACCUUAUCGUGGGGGAUAACGCAGCGAAAGCUGUGCUAAUACCGCAUACGCCCUGAGGGGGAAAGCGGGGGAUCGCAAGACCUCGCGCGAUUAGAGCGGCCGAUGCCUGAUUAGCUUGUUGGUGGGGUAAAAGCCCACCAAGGCGACGAUCAGUAGCUGGUCUGAGAGGACGAUCGGCCACACUGGGACUGGGACACGGCCCAGACUCCUACGGGAGGCAGCAGUGGGGAAUUUUGGACAAUGGGGGCAACCCUGAUCCAGCAAUGCCGCGUGAGUGAAGAAGGCCUUCGGGUUGUAAAGCUCUUUUGUCAGGGAAGAAACACCGGCUCUAACACAGUCCGGGAAUGACGGUACCUGAAGAAUAAGCACCGGCUAUCUACGUGCCAGCCGCCGCCGUAA